RNAcentral lists this long non-coding RNA (751 nucleotides) under Homo sapiens (human). RNAcentral's name for it is "non-protein coding lnc-STX1A-1:4". The record is from RNAcentral. Lineage: Eukaryota; Metazoa; Chordata; Mammalia; Primates; Hominidae.
GGAGAAGGAGCGCGGGGAGGACGUACCUUGUGAGAUGCGAGCCGGCCAACAGCUUGCAAGCAUGCUCCGCUGGACCCGAGCCUGGAGGCUCCCGCGUGAGGGACUCGGCCCCCACGGCCCUAGCUUCGCGAGGGUGCCUGUCGCACCCAGCAGCAGCAGCGGCGGCCGAGGGGGCGCCGAGCCGAGGCCGCUUCCGCUUUCCUACAGGCUUCUGGACGGGGAGGCAGCCCUCCCGGCCGUCGUCUUUUUGCACGGGCUCUUCGGCAGCAAAACUAACUUCAACUCCAUCGCCAAGAUCUUGGCCCAGCAGACAGGCCGUAGGAUCUCCAUCGGGGCUGGCCCAUGCCUAGGCGCCUGCACCCUUUCCAUGAAGGGGCCUGCUUGUUCACUAGGGAUGACCGGGAGCUCACCACCUCUUAUGGCAGCCCAUUCUUCUGUGCUCCUACUGUUGGAAAUUCCUGGAGUCUCCUUCCUGGCAUUCUCCGAGAUUGCCACCCAGCCAGGCCAGCCCUUCAGAGACGUGGUCACAACCCUGGGGCCUGCUCUUCUCUGGCAGAGUGGCCCCAGGUUCUUCAUCUGGGCCUCCUAGGUCUGGAAACUGGGCCCUUCCCCUCCACAGGGUGUAUCCCCAGGCUCUCCACACCUUUGACCUGCUGUCCCUACAAGCCUUUGGCUGUCUACCCCCAGAAUGGGGAUAUCAACGCAGCCCCGUCUCACCCCACUCCCCAGGUGCUGACGGUGGAUGCUCGUA